This 500-nucleotide ribosomal RNA is filed under the name uncultured bacterium. RNAcentral describes it as "partial 16S ribosomal RNA". It matches the Rfam family "Bacterial small subunit ribosomal RNA", at positions 899 to 1397 of the family's 1533-position model. The record is from RNAcentral.
ACUCAAAUGAAUUGACGGGGGCCCGCACAAGCGGUGGAGCAUGUGGUUUAAUACGUCACAAACCGUAGAACCUUACCAAGGCUUGACAUCCUCUGCACCAGUGUGAAAGCACUGUCCGAGCAAUCGGCGGAGAGACAGGUGUUGCAUGGCUGUCGUCAGCUCGUGUCGUGAGAUGUUGGGUUAAGUCCCGCAACGAGCGCAACCCUCAUCCCCUGUUGCCAGCGCGUAAAGGCGGGAACUCUGGGGAAACUGCCGGUGCAAGCCGGAGGAAGGUGAGGACGACGUCAAGUCAGCAUGGCCCUUACGCCUUGGGCUACACACAUGCUACAAUGGACGGUACACAGAGGGAACCGAUGGCGCGAGCCGGGGGCAAUCUCAGAAAUCCGUUCUCAGUUCGGAUUGCAGGCUGCAACUCGCCUGCAUGAAGCCGGAAUCGCUAGUAAACGCAGGUCAGCGAAACUGCGUUGAAUUCGUUCCCGGGCCUUGCACACACCGCCCGU